RNAcentral lists this ribosomal RNA (237 nucleotides) under uncultured bacterium. Its description in RNAcentral is "partial 16S ribosomal RNA". It matches the Rfam family "Bacterial small subunit ribosomal RNA", at positions 118 to 353 of the family's 1533-position model. The record is from RNAcentral.
UGAGCAAUCUGCCCUUCUCUUCGGAAUAAGCGUGGGAAACCGCGUCUAAUGCCGAAUACGACCUCCUUUCGCAUGAGCGGAGGUGGAAAGCUCCGGCGGAGAAGGAUGAGCUCGCGGCCUAUCAGCUAGUUGGUGUGGGUAAUGGCCCACCAAGGCGACGACGGGUAGCCGGCCUGAGAGGGUGACCGGCCACACUGGGACUGAGACACGGCCCAGACCUCCGUACGGGAGGCAGCG